RNAcentral lists this ribosomal RNA (254 nucleotides) under uncultured bacterium. Its description in RNAcentral is "partial 16S ribosomal RNA". It matches the Rfam family "Bacterial small subunit ribosomal RNA", at positions 524 to 776 of the family's 1533-position model. The record is from RNAcentral.
UACGUAGGGGGCAAGCGUUGUCCGGAAUCAUUGGGCGUAAAGAGCGUGUAGGCGGUUCGGUAAGUCGGCUGUGAAAGUCCAGGGCUCAACCCUGCGUCGGCCAGGGAUACUGCCGCGGCUCGAGCACUGUAGAGGCAGGCGGAAUUCCGGGUGUAGCGGUGGAAUGCGUAGAGAUCCGGAAGAACACCGGUGGCGAAGGCGGAUCUCUGGGCCAUUACUGACGCUGAGGAGCGAAAGCGUGGGGAGCGAACAGG